RNAcentral lists this unclassified non-coding RNA (332 nucleotides) under soil metagenome. RNAcentral's name for it is "partial contains 5.8S ribosomal RNA, internal transcribed spacer 2, and large subunit ribosomal RNA". The stretch from base 1 to 120 matches the Rfam family "5.8S ribosomal RNA", at positions 35 to 154 of the family's 154-position model. The record is from RNAcentral.
GAUGAAGAACGCAGCAAAAUGCGAUAAGUAAUGUGAAUUGCAGAAUUCAGUGAAUCAUCGAAUCUUUGAACGCACAUUGCGCCCGCCAGUAUUCUGGCGGGCAUGCCUGUUCGAGCGUCAUUUCAACCCUCAAGCACAGCUUGGUGUUGGGACUCGCGUUAAUUCGCGUUCCCCAAAUUGAUUGGCGGUCACGUCGAGCUUCCAUAGCGUAGUAGUAAAACCCUCGUUACUGGUAAUCGUCGCGGCCACGCCGUUAAACCCCAACUUCUGAAUGUUGACCUCGGAUCAGGUAGGAAUACCCGCUGAACUUAAGCAUAUCAAUAAGCGGAGAA